AUUGAACGCUGGCGGCAGGCCUAACACAUGCAAGUCGAACGAGUGGCGGACGGGUGAGUAAUGUCUGGGAAACUGCCCGAUGGAGGGGGAUAACUAUCGGAAACGGUAGCUAAUACCGCAUACCAUCGGAUGUGCCCAGAUUGGAUUAGCUAGUAGGAGGGGUAAAGGCUCACCUAGGCGACGAUCACUAGCUGGUCUGAGAGGAUGACCGGCCACACUGGGACUGAGACACGGUCCAGACUCCUACGUGAGGCAGCAGUGGGGAAUAUUGCACAAUGGGCGCAAGCCUGAUGCAGCCAUGCCGCGUGUAUGAAGAAGGCCUUCGGGUUGUAAAGUACUUUCAUCAGGGAGGCGUUACUCGAAGAAGAAGCACCGGCUAACUCCGUGCCAGCAGCCGCGGUAAUAC
RNAcentral lists this ribosomal RNA (406 nucleotides) under uncultured bacterium. RNAcentral's name for it is "partial 16S ribosomal RNA". It matches the Rfam family "Bacterial small subunit ribosomal RNA", at positions 30 to 526 of the family's 1533-position model. The record is from RNAcentral.